Molecule: ribosomal RNA, 191 nt
Filed under: uncultured bacterium
Lineage: Bacteria
Description: partial 16S ribosomal RNA
Rfam family: Bacterial small subunit ribosomal RNA
Source: RNAcentral
CUCCUACGGGAGGCAGCAGUGGGGAAUCUUGCACAAUGGACGAAAGUCUGAUGCAGCAACGCCGCGUGGGGGAUGAAGCUUUUCGGAGUGUAAAACCCCUUUACGUACCCCGGUAAGAACGUGCCCGCAAGGGUUUGACGGUACGGGUAUAAGAAGCCCGGCUAACUACGUGCCAGCCGCCGCGGUAAUAC